GGGAAAGUUACUAAUUUUGAAUGCUAUGACUACCUAUGAAGCGCCAGAGUUCGGUCUUGAAAACCGACGAGGGUGAAAGUCCUCCCAGGGUUCGAAUCCCUGUUCCUCCCG
Molecule: transfer RNA, 111 nt
Filed under: Planktomarina temperata
Lineage: Bacteria; Pseudomonadati; Pseudomonadota; Alphaproteobacteria; Rhodobacterales; Paracoccaceae
Also listed under: 1 other name
Description: tRNA-Ser
Source: RNAcentral